RNAcentral lists this ribosomal RNA (436 nucleotides) under uncultured bacterium. RNAcentral's name for it is "partial 16S ribosomal RNA". It matches the Rfam family "Bacterial small subunit ribosomal RNA", at positions 355 to 783 of the family's 1533-position model. The record is from RNAcentral.
UGGGGAAUUUUGGACAAUGGGCGCAAGCCUGAUCCAGCCAUGCCGCGUGCGGGAAGAAGGCCUUCGGGUUGUAAACCGCUUUUGUCAGGGAAGAAAUCUUCUGAGUUAAUACCUCGGGAGGAUGACGGUACCUGAAGAAUAAGCACCGGCUAACUACGUGCCAGCAGCCGCGGUAAUACGUAGGGUGCAAGCGUUAAUCGGAAUUACUGGGCGUAAAGCGUGCGCAGGCGGUUUUGUAAGACAGAGGUGAAAUCCCCGGGCUCAACCUGGGAACUGCCUUUGUGACUGCAAGGCUUGAGUGCGGCAGAGGGGGAUGGAAUUCCGCGUGUAGCAGUGAAAUGCGUAGAUAUGCGGAGGAACACCGAUGGCGAAGGCAAUCCCCUGGGCCUGCACUGACGCUCAUGCACGAAAGCGUGGGGAGCAAACAGGAUUAGAU